Molecule: non-coding RNA, 175 nt
Filed under: Clostridiales bacterium
Lineage: Bacteria; Bacillati; Bacillota; Clostridia; Eubacteriales
Description: 6S RNA
Rfam family: 6S / SsrS RNA
About the family: E. coli 6S RNA was the first non coding RNA to be sequenced, but its function was unknown until recently. It consists of 184 nucleotides that fold into an extended hairpin structure with a large single-stranded internal bulge.
Source: RNAcentral
GAAAGCCUGCGGUGUACGGAAAUUCUUUAAUUCAACCGACAUAUUGUAAAAGGGAAUUCGCGUCCGGGAGACUAUGACAGGCCCGCUUUGACGGGAAGCCAGAACAGCUCGGUAGAAAUCCCACCUGCUUAGAUGCGGGUAUGAAUUAAUGGUUUGCGGCUCUCGCGGGUUUUUU